AGCGAACGCUGGCGGCAGGCCUAACACAUGCAAGUCGAACGAACCUUUCGGGGUUAGUGGCGGACGGGUGAGUAACACGUGGGAACGUGCCUUUAGGUUCGGAAUAACUCAGGGAAACUUGUGCUAAUACCGAAUGUGCCCUUCGGGGGAAAGAUUAAUCGCCUUUAGAGCGGCCCGCGUCUGAUUAGCUAGUUGGUUGAGGUAAUGGCUCACCAAGGCGACGAUCAGUAGCUGGUCUGAGAGGAUGAUCAGCCACAUUGGGACUGAGACACGGCCCAAACUCCUACGGGAGGCAGCAGGGGGGAAUCUUGCGCAAUGGGCGAAAGCCUGACGCAGCCAUGCCGCGUGAAUGAUGAAGGUCUUAGGAUUGUAAAAUUCUUUCACCGGGGACGAUAAUGACGGUACCCGGAGAAGAAGCCCCGGCUAACUUCG
This 432-nucleotide ribosomal RNA is filed under the name uncultured bacterium. RNAcentral's name for it is "partial 16S ribosomal RNA". It matches the Rfam family "Bacterial small subunit ribosomal RNA", at positions 29 to 505 of the family's 1533-position model. The record is from RNAcentral.